UGGGGAAUUUUGGACAAUGGGGGAAACCCUGAUCCAGCCAUCCCGCGUGUGCGAUGAAGGCCUUCGGGUUGUAAAGCACUUUUGUCAGGAAAGAAACGUCAUGGGUUAAUACCCCGUGAAACUGACGGUACCUGCAGAAUAAGCACCGGCUAACUACGUGCCAGCAGCCGCGGUAAUACGUAGGGUGCAAGCGUUAAUCGGAAUUACUGGGCGUAAAGCGUGCGCAGGCGGUUCGGAAAGAAAGAUGUGAAAUCCCAGAGCUCAACUUUGGAACUGCAUUUUUAACUACCGGGCUAGAGUGUGUCAGAGGGAGGUGGGAUUCCGCGUGUAGCAGUGAAAUGCGUAGAUAUGCGGAGGAACACCGAUGGCGAAGGCAGCCUCCUGGGAUAACACUGACGCUCAUGCACGAAAGCGUGGGGAGCAAACAGG
This 429-nucleotide ribosomal RNA is filed under the name Acidobacteriota bacterium. Its description in RNAcentral is "Acidobacteria bacterium partial 16S ribosomal RNA". It matches the Rfam family "Bacterial small subunit ribosomal RNA", at positions 355 to 776 of the family's 1533-position model. Lineage: Bacteria; Pseudomonadati; Acidobacteriota. The record is from RNAcentral.